ACACUUCAUCCCCACUACUAGAGCAACCACUAAUUAUAGCUACACCCUUUCUGAAGCUUUUGCGUCCUUGAGAGGGAGAUUUCAGAGGCGAGUAAGACUGACGCGACCGGGCCUGCUUUUCAUCCUUCAGUUGGUCGUUCGUCACAUGAUUUGAUCUAAUUGCAGUCGAUAGCUUUACGCAGAUCUGAAGCUUUCACGGCUCAGGAAAAUAUGCCUCCUCGCCCGUUUGAUUAAGCCCUAAGCAAGCGUUGUUAAAAAGGAGCUACAGUAUGGUGCUGCUUGUGUGGCACAUCUUACAGCUAGCUACAUUAACUUUUCUGAAGAAAAAUGGACACUGAGGAAGGAGAUGGUGCUCUGUUCGGCUCAGAUUCAAGCAGAAGCUGCUGCUGCACAGGAAAAAAGUGAUGUGUCUUGGAAGAUUUUUGUUCUUUCUUUCUUGCAGUUAUACAUGGACGCAACUAUAAAGCCGGUGAAUUUGCAGUUCUCUGUUAGCUACUAUGUAAAUGAAAAAUGGAAUUAAAAUGGGGGUGGUGGUGUAAUGUUUUUGUCUUUUGGUUUGAUCUGACGGCCGAGAUCUGGAAGUGGGAUUUGGAAUGUUCUUAUUUUGGACGGCUUGAGCAAUUGACAGUGAUGAUGAUAAGGCUAAUGUUUUCUCCUAA
Long non-coding RNA from Brachypodium distachyon (stiff brome), 659 nucleotides. RefSeq lists it as uncharacterized. NCBI's taxonomy places the organism in Eukaryota, Viridiplantae, Streptophyta, Magnoliopsida, Poales, Poaceae. The transcript is spliced from 2 exons. The record is from RefSeq and is a predicted model, not a curated record.